AGUGAACGCUGGCGGCAGGCCUAACACAUGCAAGUCGAACGGCAGCACAGUAAGAGCUUGCUCUUACGGGUGGCGAGUGGCGGACGGGUGAGGAAUACAUCGGAAUCUACUUUUUAGAGGGGGAUAACGUAGGGAAAAUUACGCUAAUACCGCAUACGACCUACGGGUGAAAGCAGGGGAUCUUCGGACCUUGGGUGAUUGAAUGAGCCGAUGUCGGAUUAGCUAGUUGGCGGGGUAAAGGCCCACCAAGGCGACGAUCCGUAGCUGGUCUGAGAGGAUGAUCAGCCACACUGGAACUGAGACACGGUCCAGACUCCUACGGGAGGCAGCAGUGGGGAAUAUUGGACAAUGGGCGCAAGCCUGAUCCAGCCAUACCGCGUGGGUGAAGAAGGCCUUCGGGUUGUAAAGCCCUUUUGUUGGGAAAGAAGAGCAGCAGGUUAAUACCCCGCUGUUCUGACGGUACCCAAAGAAUAAGCACCGGCUAACUUCGUG
This 492-nucleotide ribosomal RNA is filed under the name uncultured bacterium. RNAcentral describes it as "partial 16S ribosomal RNA". It matches the Rfam family "Bacterial small subunit ribosomal RNA", at positions 29 to 507 of the family's 1533-position model. The record is from RNAcentral.